RNAcentral lists this ribosomal RNA (711 nucleotides) under Triticum aestivum (bread wheat). RNAcentral's name for it is "partial small subunit ribosomal RNA". The record is from RNAcentral. Lineage: Eukaryota; Viridiplantae; Streptophyta; Magnoliopsida; Poales; Poaceae.
AUGAGGUGCAUGCAGCGCAGGUUUAUACCAGCGCUGUAUGAACCUGGGUUGUAUGAUCUAGUAGAAGUCAAGCCGCAUUUGGAGUACAUUGCUAGGCACAUCAAAUUUCAGUCGAGGGAAAAGCGGUGCAAGAAUGAGUUUGUGAUCUCCGUGAGCGAGUCGGCUGAUGAGUUCGGGUGCGAGUGUGGGACAUUCGAGCACUAUGCAAUGGUUUGCAGCCAUGCACUUAAGGUCAUGAUACACCUGAAUUUGCAUGAGCUCCCUGCGAAGCAUGUGCUCAGGCGAUGGACUAGAUAUGCAAGAGAUAUACUACCGCCAGAGUAUCUGCGCUACCAGAAGGAUCAUCGACCGCUGAAGUAUUCUUCUCGUCAACGCAACACUUUGUACCUGCUAGCGCUUGAUGCCGUUAAGUUAGGCGACAGCAAUGUGGAAGCAUGUGCAUUUGCUAUGGAGAAAAUGCGAGAUGUCAAAGUGCAGGUCGAGCCAGUUGCCGCCAUGAGGGAUGGGCUUGGUUUGUCUGAUAUAGAGUUGGCUACAGAUUCAGCCGGCUCUGGCAUUGGUAACAAACAGCACUUUGGCCGAACUGGGUCUGAGCAGACCAUUUCGCAAGGAUCAGACGUGUUCCUGACGCCGUCAAGGAAACGACCGGCUGGGCGUCCCACAACUAGCCGCAACAAAGCUCCAUACGAGGAACCAUCAAAAGAGGAGUAG